GGCGGCGUGCUUAACACAUGCAAGUCGAACGAAAAUACCAAGCUUGCUUGGUUGAUUAGUGGCGAACGGGUGAGUAACACGUGAGUAACCUGCCCCUUACUUUCCUGGAUAACUGCUCGAAAGGGUAGCUAAUACGGGAUAUUCUGACCAUCCUGCAUGGGUUGGUUUGGAAAGGUUGUUUUUCUGGUAAGGGAUGGGCUCGCGGCCUAUCAGCUUGUUGGUGGGGUGAUGGCCUACCAAGGCUUUGACGGGUAGCCGGCCUGAGAGGGUGGACGGUCACACUGGGACUGAGAUACGGCCCAGACUCCUACGGGAGGCAGCAGUGGGGAAUAUUGCACAAUGGGCGCAAGCCUGAUGCAGCGACGCCGCGUGAGGGAUGAAGGCCUUCGGGUUGUAAACCUCUUUCGUCAGGGAACAAGGCACUGCUUUGGUGGUGUUGAGGGUACCUGGAUAAGAAGCGCCGGCUAACUACGUGCCAGCAGCCGCGGUA
Molecule: ribosomal RNA, 490 nt
Filed under: Actinomyces graevenitzii
Lineage: Bacteria; Bacillati; Actinomycetota; Actinomycetes; Actinomycetales; Actinomycetaceae
Description: bacterial SSU rRNA
Rfam family: Bacterial small subunit ribosomal RNA
Source: RNAcentral